This 238-nucleotide ribosomal RNA is filed under the name uncultured bacterium. Its description in RNAcentral is "partial 16S ribosomal RNA". It matches the Rfam family "Bacterial small subunit ribosomal RNA", at positions 15 to 244 of the family's 1533-position model. The record is from RNAcentral.
GAUCAUGGCUCAGGACGAACGCUGGCGGCGCGCCUAACACAUGCAAGUCGAACGAGAGAUGUAAGAGCUUUGCUCUUCAAAUUCGAGUGGCGAACGGGUGAGUAACGCGUGAGGAACCUGCCUCAAAGAGGGGACAACAGGUUGGAAACGACUGCUAAUACCGCAUAAGCCCACGGCUCGGCAUCGAGCAGAGGGAAAAGGAGCAAAUCCGCUUUGAGAUGGCCUCGCGUCCGAUUAG